This 450-nucleotide ribosomal RNA is filed under the name uncultured bacterium. Its description in RNAcentral is "partial 16S ribosomal RNA". It matches the Rfam family "Bacterial small subunit ribosomal RNA", at positions 354 to 796 of the family's 1533-position model. The record is from RNAcentral.
GUGGGGAAUUUUGGACAAUGGGCGAAAGCCUGAUCCAGCCAUGCCGCGUGCAGGAUGAAGGCCUUCGGGUUGUAAACUGCUUUUGUACGGAACGAAAAGACUCCUUCUAAUAAAGGGGGUCCAUGACGGUACCGUAAGAAUAAGCACCGGCUAACUACGUGCCAGCAGCCGCGGUAAUACGUAGGGUGCAAGCGUUAAUCGGAAUUACUGGGCGUAAAGCGUGCGCAGGCGGUUAUAUAAGACAGAUGUGAAAUCCCCGGGCUCAACCUGGGAACUGCAUUUGUGACUGCAUCGCUGGAGUGCGGCAGAGGGGGAUGGAAUUCCGCGUGUAGCAGUGAAAUGCGUAGAUAUGCGGAGGAACACCGAUGGCGAAGGCAAUCCCCUGGGCCUGCACUGACGCUCAUGCACGAAAGCGUGGGGAGCAAACAGGAUUAGAAACCCCAGUAGUCC